GUUACUUCUCCUUAACAAAUUGAUUUUACAGCAUCUAAAUAUUACAUACUACAGGGCGUGACUAUUUGUGUGCCUCCCAUCAACAUUUAGAACUGAUUUAUAUCUAAGAAAAGUGCUGAUGAUGUCUCAUAUUGACUUUAUUUAAUAACGUGAGAACUGCUGCAAAUUUUAAAUGUAAGGUGUUUAUUUGUUUUCUGUUAUUAAUUCCCUGCAAGUCUCACUUCAC
Molecule: non-coding RNA, 226 nt
Organism: Pelobates cultripes (western spadefoot toad)
Lineage: Eukaryota; Metazoa; Chordata; Amphibia; Anura; Pelobatidae
Source: the annotation of a GenBank genome assembly